UGAGGAAUAUUGGUCAAUGGACGCAAGUCUGAACCAGCCAAGUAGCGUGCAGGAUGACGGCCCUAUGGGUUGUAAACUGCUUUUAUAUGGGGAUAAAGUGGGGAACGUGUUCCCUUUUGCAGGUACCAUAUGAAUAAGGACCGGCUAAUUCCGUGCCAGCAGCCGCGGUAAUACGGAAGGUUCGGGCGUUAUCCGGAUUUAUUGGGUUUAAAGGGUGCGCAGGUGGCUGAUCAGGUCAGUGGUGAAAAGCUAUGGCUCAACCAUGGUCUUGCCAUUGAAACCGUAUAGCUAGAGAAGAGACGAGGUAGGCGGAAUGUGUGGUGUAGCGGUGAAAUGCAUAGAUAUCACACAGAACUCCGAUUGCGAAGGCAGCUUACCAGGCUUUAUCUGACACUUAGGCACGACAGCGUGGGGAUCAAACAGG
Molecule: ribosomal RNA, 424 nt
Filed under: Verrucomicrobiota bacterium
Lineage: Bacteria; Pseudomonadati; Verrucomicrobiota
Description: Verrucomicrobia bacterium partial 16S ribosomal RNA
Rfam family: Bacterial small subunit ribosomal RNA
Source: RNAcentral